This 324-nucleotide ribosomal RNA is filed under the name uncultured eukaryote. Its description in RNAcentral is "partial 18S ribosomal RNA". It matches the Rfam family "Eukaryotic small subunit ribosomal RNA", at positions 1470 to 1796 of the family's 1831-position model. The record is from RNAcentral.
CCCUUAGAUGCUCUGGGCCGCACGCGCGCUACACUGGUCGAUGCAACGAGUUUCUUUCCUUGGCCGACAGGCCUGGGCAAUCUUUGAACAUCGAUCGUGAUCGGGAUAGAUUCUUGUAAUUUUUGAUCUUAAACGAGGAAUUCCUAGUAAACGCAAGUCAUCAGCUUGCAUUGAUUACGUCCCUGCCCUUUGUACACCCCGCCCGUCGCACCUACCGAUUGAAUGGUCCGGUGAAAUCUCCGGACUGGCGUGAGUCGGAGCAAUCUGACAAACACCGGAAAGUUGAUUAAACCUUACCAUUUAGAGGAAGGUGAAGUCGUAACA